CGGUAACAGGAGGACUGCUGCGGCCUAGCCGUGCGGGUACCGCCAUGCCGCCGCGGCGGGGGCCGUGCCUGGGUUACAGCCUGCCCCCUCCACAGGCAUUUAAAUUUUCUGCAGAGAUGGAAGUGAAAAACAAGGGAACAAACAGCACUGCAAGGGAAUAUAUAUUGAAGUGCAUGUCUGAAUACAAUCAGAAUUGGGCAAUUCAGGAAGAGUCAAGAGAUGUAGAAGAGCCCAUUAUUCCUGAUCAGAAACUCAAGUGGAAGUUGAAAAUGCCGAUUAAAAAAUAAAGAAGGAGAAAGAAAGACUUUUUUUUGUCAGUUCUCAAUACUUUUCCAGGAAGUAUUCCUGAGGGAUUUCUGAUCCAACAGAAAUCAAGGAUUAAGACUUUGAACCCUGACGUGCUUGGAUUAUUCGGCCAUGUGGUUUGACCUAAGUUAACUCAGCGAUAGUCAGAGGGGUUUAAACAAGCAGCAAAUGUGGAGAUGCCCUAAGUCAGAAUGGCUGACUGCAAUAAAAUGAAACAGAAUAUGUGGGACAGCAAUGACAGUCAUAGCUUCUGUUGAGUGGGUUUAUUUUUCAGUCUGGAAGCCAAGAGACUGCACUGCAGACAUUUCUACCUAUUAAAUGAAAUAAAAACAGAACUAAAAUCAUAUACAGGCUUCUGUCUCUACAGGCACCAUGGGGUACAGUGUUACUUAUCAGUGGUUAGCUCCAGCCAAGUUUAGCUUCUUCUGAAGCAUUAAUGGCUAAAUCAGAAAGCCAGCCUGGCCUGCAUUUCACGCAGCUUGACCACUGGUUGCUUUAACACGAAAUAUCAGAAACAUUAUGGUCAUAUGAACAGGAUGUAUUUUGGCAGUUCUGUUUGUCCAGGGCACAUGCCUAAAACUCUGCAGCCAGAUGCCACGUUCCUGGUUACUAAUCUCAUGAGCACCUUUCCCAUUGAGUCCUCUCUCUGGUUACAUGAAGCACUUUUCCUCUAGCAAAGGUCAGCUUAAGAGAAUAGACUUUCCCUGUAAGAUCUGAGCAAGAAGUCUAAGGGAUCACCUGAGCUUACAGCUGUUCCAGCUGCCCUCCUGGUGCACCUUCCUUAUAUGCUCAAUAGCAGACAGGUAUGAGGCCAGGAAUCAGUUUUUUCACCACGUUAGUUUGAGAAGCUGUCUUCAGGGCUGGAUAUUGUUUACCUGAGGACUUUUUGGUCUUCUGUGGUGUGGGAAGUGAUUCAUUUCUAAGGAUGAUGUAAACCUUUUCCUGUUACAAACUUCCUAUGUUUGCAGAAGCUCAAAACGUUAGUGAUUGCUUUCAUCCUCCUUGAACCUCUUCAUUCAACACAUUAAUAUCUUGAAGGCCUUUUGGUCUUUUAGACCUAAAGUCUUAUGUUUGUUACCAGGUAGUGGGAUGCAUAUGGCAUGUGAGUGAUAGAAUAAAAGAGAAAAUGUCUAUGA
This is a long non-coding RNA of Pezoporus flaviventris, 1442 nucleotides long. RefSeq lists it as uncharacterized. NCBI's taxonomy places the organism in Eukaryota, Metazoa, Chordata, Aves, Psittaciformes, Psittacidae. The transcript has 2 exons. The record is from RefSeq and is a predicted model, not a curated record.